Molecule: long non-coding RNA, 456 nt
Organism: Panthera uncia (snow leopard)
Lineage: Eukaryota; Metazoa; Chordata; Mammalia; Carnivora; Felidae
Exons: 2
Source: RefSeq, a predicted model, not a curated record
AAAAGAAGAUUUCUUAGACGAGGAGAAAUAAAAUAACCUAAGUUUAGUAGAUCGAGAGGCUUGGCUCCAGAAAAUCAGUCUGACUAAAUGCUGAAGGAAAUCGUCCCAGGUCCCACUGCUCAGCCCUUCUCCUGUAGAUUGGGUCGCUGACCUCAUACUGACUUUGUGACAUCCCAGAGUGAGGAAGUAUAAGUCCACAGUUGCCUGGUUUCUUUAGACGCUCCUCCCUGCCUCAUCUCAAGGCUCAGAAAACCAUUUUCAGCAUGAAGAAACUGCGGAGCACUCGUGCAGGACGGUGCUCUGGAGAGCAUACAAAUCUUUCUGCACGGUGACAUGGUCCCUACUGGAACUCCAGAACAUCUCUGUGGUGUUACCUUCCACAUUAUCUCCCAGAACAAAAAUGAGGCUGCCCAGCAUUGAGAAUCUCUUAAUCAAUAAAAUCGGAUCACUGCAACA